This 492-nucleotide ribosomal RNA is filed under the name uncultured bacterium. RNAcentral's name for it is "partial 16S ribosomal RNA". It matches the Rfam family "Bacterial small subunit ribosomal RNA", at positions 29 to 507 of the family's 1533-position model. The record is from RNAcentral.
AGUGAACGCUGGCGGUAGGCCUAACACAUGCAAGUCGAACGGCAGCACAGUAAGAGCUUGCUCUUACGGGUGGCGAGUGGCGGACGGGUGAGGAAUACAUCGGAAUCUACUUUUUCGUGGGGGAUAACGUAGGGAAACUUACGCUAAUACCGCAUACGACCUACGGGUGAAAGCAGGGGAUCUUCGGACCUUGCGCGAUUGAAUGAGCCGAUGUCGGAUUAGCUAGUUGGCGGGGUAAAGGCCCACCAAGGCGACGAUCCGUAGCUGGUCUGAGAGGAUGACCAGCCACACUGGAACUGAGACACGGUCCAGACUCCUACGGGAGGCAGCAGUGGGGAAUAUUGGACAAUGGGCGCAAGCCUGAUCCAACCAUACCGCGUGGGUGAAGAAGGCCUUCGGGUUGUAAAGCCCUUUUGUUGGGAAAGAAAAGCAGCAGGUUAAUACCCCGCUGUUCUGACGGUACCCAAAGAAUAAGCACCGGCUAACUUCGUG